RNAcentral lists this ribosomal RNA (293 nucleotides) under uncultured bacterium. RNAcentral's name for it is "partial 16S ribosomal RNA". It matches the Rfam family "Bacterial small subunit ribosomal RNA", at positions 775 to 1067 of the family's 1533-position model. The record is from RNAcentral.
GGAUUAGAUACCCUGGUAGUCCACGCCGUAAACGAUGUCUACUAGUUGUCGGUGGUCUUGUACUGCUGGUAACGCAGCUAACGCGAUAAGUAGACCGCCUGGGGAGUACGGCCGCAAGGUUAAAACUCAAAUGAAUUGACGGGGGCCCGCACAAGCGGUGGAGCAUGUGGUUUAAUUCGAAGCAACGCGAAGAACCUUACCUGGCCUUGACAUCCUGCGAACUUUCUAGAGAUAGAUUGGUGCCUUCGGGAGCGCAGAGACAGGUGCUGCAUGGCUGUCGUCAGCUCGUGCCG